AGAGUUUGAUCAUGGCUCAGAUUGAACGCUGGCGGCAGGCCUAACACAUGCAAGUCGAACGGUAACAGGAAGCAGCUUGCUGCUUCGCUGACGAGUGGCGGACGGGUGAGUAAUGUCUGGGAAGCUGCCUGAUGGAGGGGGAUAACUACUGGAAACGGUAGCUAAUACCGCAUAAUGUCGCAAGACCAAAGAGGGGGACCUUCGGGCCUCUUGCCAUCGGAUGUGCCCAGAUGGGAUUAGCUUGUUGGUGGGGUAACGGCUCACCAAGGCGACGAUCCCUAGCUGGUCUGAGAGGAUGACCAGCCACACUGGAACUGAGACACGGUCCAGACUCCUACGGGAGGCAGCAGUGGGGAAUAUUGCACAAUGGGCGCAAGCCUGAUGCAGCCAUGCCGCGUGUAUGAAGAAGGCCUUCGGGUUGUAAAGUACUUUCAGCGGGGAGGAAGGGAGUAAAGUUAAUACCUUUGCUCAUUGACGUUACCCGCAGAAGAAGCACCGGCUAACUCCGUGCCAGCAGCCGCGGUAAUACGGAGGGUGCAAGCGUUAAUCGGAAUUACUGGGCGUAAAGCGCACGCAGGCGGUUUGUUAAGUCAGAUGUGAAAUCCCCGGGCUCAACCUGGGAACUGCAUCUGAUACUGGCAAGCUUGAGUCUCGUAGAGGGGGGUAGAAUUCCAGGUGUAGCGGUGAAAUGCGUAGAGAUCUGGAGGAAUACCGGUGGCGAAGGCGGCCCCCUGGACGAAGACUGACGCUCAGGUGCGAAAGCGUGGGGAGCAAACAGGAUUAGAUACCCUGGUAGUCCACGCCGUAAACGAUGUCGACUUGGAGGUUGUGCCCUUGAGGCGUGGCUUCCGGAGCUAACGCGUUAAGUCGACCGCCUGGGGAGUACGGCCGCAAGGUUAAAACUCAAAUGAAUUGACGGGGGCCCGCACAAGCGGUGGAGCAUGUGGUUUAAUUCGAUGCAACGCGAAGAACCUUACCUGGUCUUGACAUCCACGGAAGUUUUCAGAGAUGAGAAUGUGCCUUCGGGAACCGUGAGACAGGUGCUGCAUGGCUGUCGUCAGCUCGUGUUGUGAAAUGUUGGGUUAAGUCCCGCAACGAGCGCAACCCUUAUCCUUUGUUGCCAGCGGUCCGGCCGGGAACUCAAAGGAGACUGCCAGUGAUAAACUGGGGGAAGGUGGGGAUGACGUCAAGUCAUCAUGGCCCUUACGACCAGGGCUACACACGUGCUACAAUGGCGCAUACAAAGAGAAGCGACCUCGCGAGAGCAAGCGGACCUCAUAAAGUGCGUCGUAGUCCGGAUUGGAGUCUGCAACUCGACUCCAUGAAGUCGGAAUCGCUAGUAAUCGUGGAUCAGAAUGCCACGGUGAAUACGUUCCCGGGCCUUGUACACACCGCCCGUCACACCAUGGGAGUGGGUUGCAAAAGAAGUAGGUAGCUUAACCUUCGGGAGGGCGCUUACCACUUUGUGAUUCAUGACUGGGGUGAAGUCGUAACAAGGUAACCGUAGGGGAACCUGCGGUUG
This 1522-nucleotide ribosomal RNA is filed under the name metagenome. Its description in RNAcentral is "bacterial SSU rRNA". It matches the Rfam family "Bacterial small subunit ribosomal RNA". The record is from RNAcentral.